RNAcentral lists this ribosomal RNA (253 nucleotides) under uncultured prokaryote. Its description in RNAcentral is "partial 16S ribosomal RNA". It matches the Rfam family "Bacterial small subunit ribosomal RNA", at positions 524 to 776 of the family's 1533-position model. The record is from RNAcentral.
UACGUAGGGACCAAGCGUUGUUCGGAUUUACUGGGCGUAAAGGGCGCGUAGGCGGUAUGACAAGUCACUUGUGAAAUCUCCGGGCUUAACUCGGAAAGGUCAACUGAUACUGCAGGGCUAGAGUGCGGAAGGGGCAACUGGAAUUCUCGGUGUAGCGGUGAAAUGCGUAGAUAUCGAGAGGAACACCUGCGGCGAAGGCGGGUUGCUGGGCCGACACUGACGCUGAAGCGCGAAAGCUAGGGGAGCGAACGGG